GGGGCUGACUGGAUUUGACAGCAAGCGCGUUAAAUAGUAAGCAUGUCGAGCAUUGUAUUUUAGCUCGUAAAUAUCAAAAUGCAAUUUUUUAAAUGGCGAAAAUAAUUACGCUUUAGCUGCUUAAUUUAUAUAAUUACGUAAGCUUUUGUCUCUUUUAUAGGACCUCUUGAUUCCUAUAGAUUAUGAGGCAUAAUAAAUUUCAAGAUAGUUGGUUUAUUGCUUUUAUAAACUAGCGAAACUUUAAAAAGCUAAGGAUUA
RNAcentral lists this transfer-messenger RNA (258 nucleotides) under Cryomorphaceae bacterium. Its description in RNAcentral is "partial transfer-messenger RNA". It matches the Rfam family "transfer-messenger RNA", at positions 1 to 258 of the family's 374-position model. Rfam says of the family: Bacterial tmRNA, also known as 10Sa RNA or SsrA, is named for its dual tRNA and mRNA-like properties. Its role is to liberate the mRNA from a stalled ribosome. Lineage: Bacteria; Pseudomonadati; Bacteroidota; Flavobacteriia; Flavobacteriales; Cryomorphaceae. The record is from RNAcentral.